RNAcentral lists this ribosomal RNA (492 nucleotides) under Triticum aestivum (bread wheat). Its description in RNAcentral is "partial small subunit ribosomal RNA". The record is from RNAcentral. Lineage: Eukaryota; Viridiplantae; Streptophyta; Magnoliopsida; Poales; Poaceae.
AUGGCCCCAAACAGAGCCCCCGGACCUGACAAUAUUCCCGUUGAAUUUUAUCAGGUCUGUUGGGAGAUCGUUAAAGAUGAUAUCAUGGCCCUGUUUGAUCAUUUCCAUUGAGGGAAACUUGAUGUUAAAUGCCUCAAUUAUGGGAUCAUUAACCUUCUGCCGAAAGUGUCGAGUGCUGAGAGAAUCCAGCAAUUCAGGUCGAUCUGCCUACUUAGAUGCCCCUACAAGCUCAUAACUAAGGUGCUCGACCGCAGAGUUGCUAUAUAUGAAGAUAAGCUAAUUAGCCUAAAUGCAUUUGUAAAAGGGAGGAACAUCAUGGAUGGAGUGCUCUCACUCCAUGAUAUACUCAAUUACACACAUGUCAAGAAGAGAGUGGGGAUUGUUCUUAAACUAGAUUUUGAAAAAACCUACAACAAAGUAAAUUGGGAUUUCCUUAUCAAGUGUCACAAAAUGCGAGGCUUCAAUGAAACUUGGCGUGGAUGGAUUAAAUAA